RNAcentral lists this transfer RNA (76 nucleotides) under bacterium. Its description in RNAcentral is "tRNA-Phe". It matches the Rfam family "tRNA". Rfam says of the family: Transfer RNA (tRNA) molecules are approximately 80 nucleotides in length. Their secondary structure includes four short double-helical elements and three loops (D, anti-codon, and T loops). Further hydrogen bonds mediate the characteristic L-shaped molecular structure. tRNAs have two regions of fundamental functional importance: the anti-codon, which is responsible for specific mRNA codon recognition, and the 3' end, to which the tRNAs corresponding amino acid is attached (by aminoacyl-tRNA synthetases). tRNAs cope with the degeneracy of the genetic code in two manners: having more than one tRNA (with a specific anti-codon) for a particular amino acid; and 'wobble' base-pairing, i.e. permitting non-standard base-pairing at the 3rd anti-codon position. The record is from RNAcentral.
AGACUGUGUAACUCACUGGUAGAGUGUCUGCCUGAAAAGCGGAAGGCAAUAGGUCCGAUUCCUAUCCAGUCUGCCA